This 96-nucleotide microRNA precursor is filed under the name Nicotiana sylvestris (wood tobacco). RNAcentral's name for it is "MIR6152 microRNA precursor family". It matches the Rfam family "MIR6152 microRNA precursor family". Lineage: Eukaryota; Viridiplantae; Streptophyta; Magnoliopsida; Solanales; Solanaceae. RNAcentral also lists the same sequence under 1 other name. The record is from Rfam by way of RNAcentral.
UGGACAGAUUAUUGUAUUCGACCGUAUUCACGCCGUAAAACGGGUGAUUACACUGUUUUUAAAUGGAAAGUGAAUCAAUUAACAUAAUAGACUCCU